UACAGAGGGUGCAAGCGUUGUUCGGAAUCAUUGGGCGUAAAGCGCACGUAGGCGGCUUUGCAAGUCAGGUGUGAAAGCCCGGGGCUCAACCCCGGGAGGCGGGUGGAUACUGUCAAGCUCGAGUCCGGAAGAGGAGUGUGGAAUUCCUGGUGUAGCGGUGAAAUGCGCAGAUAUCAGGAGGAACACCAAUGGCGAAGGCAGCACUCUGGGACGUGACUGACGCUGAGACGCGAAAGCGUGGGGAGCAAACAGG
This 253-nucleotide ribosomal RNA is filed under the name uncultured bacterium. RNAcentral describes it as "partial 16S ribosomal RNA". It matches the Rfam family "Bacterial small subunit ribosomal RNA", at positions 524 to 776 of the family's 1533-position model. The record is from RNAcentral.